GGGGCAGCAUAUAAUUAUCCUUGGAAUAUGCCUUAUUAAGGUCGGUAUAGUCAACACUUAUGCACUACUUUCCAUUCACCUUCUUGACCCACACUACAUUAGCUAGCCACUCAGGAUAGUUUACUUCUCGGAUGAAGCCAACCUUCAAGAGCUUGUCCAUCUCUUUCUCUAUGGGUUUCUACCACUUUGGAGUGAAACUUCUCUUCCUUUACUAGAUGGGAUGAUACUUUGAUCUAUAUUCAGAUAGUGGACAAUGAUCUCCGAGUCUAUACUUGGCAUGUCUGAGGCUGACUAGAUGAAGAUAUCUUUAUUGGAUCGAAAGGAUGAGGCAAGAUGCUGACAUUUCUCAUCAUUCAGAUUAGAGCUAACUUAGACUAUUCUGAUUGGAUCAAACUCUUCCAAUAUGAUCGAAAUGAGGUCUUCUACUAGUUGGCUUCUUUGCUCUAUCAGCUCAUCUGGAACAUCAAGCUCUUCUAUGGGUUAAGUUUUCAUGAGGGCUUCUUUGCACAAAGUUGCCAUGUAACAUUCUUUAGCUAGCUUUUGAUCUCUUAAGACUUCACUGAUCCCAUGUAAAGUA
RNAcentral lists this long non-coding RNA (577 nucleotides) under Elaeis guineensis (African oil palm). RNAcentral describes it as "long non-coding RNA (EGUI_LNC042725)". Lineage: Eukaryota; Viridiplantae; Streptophyta; Magnoliopsida; Arecales; Arecaceae. The record is from RNAcentral.